UACAGAGGUCCCAAGCGUUGUUCGGAUUCACUGGGCGUAAAGGGUGCGUAGGUGGUGGGGUAAGUCGGAUGUGAAAUCUCCGGGCUCAACCCGGAAAUGGCAUUGGAAACUACCUUGCUGGAGGAUUUGAGGGGGGAUUGGAAUACUUGGUGUAGCAGUGAAAUGCGUAGAUAUCAAGUGGAACACCAGUGGCGAAGGCGAAUCCCUGGAAAAUACCUGACACUGAGGCACGAAAGCUAGGGGAGCAAACAGG
This 253-nucleotide ribosomal RNA is filed under the name uncultured bacterium. Its description in RNAcentral is "partial 16S ribosomal RNA". It matches the Rfam family "Bacterial small subunit ribosomal RNA", at positions 524 to 776 of the family's 1533-position model. The record is from RNAcentral.